This 443-nucleotide ribosomal RNA is filed under the name uncultured Bacillota bacterium. RNAcentral's name for it is "bacterial SSU rRNA". It matches the Rfam family "Bacterial small subunit ribosomal RNA", at positions 917 to 1359 of the family's 1533-position model. The record is from RNAcentral. Lineage: Bacteria; Bacillati; Bacillota.
GGGCCCGCACAAGCAGCGGAGCAUGUGGUUUAAUUCGAAGCAACGCGAAGAACCUUACCAGGCCUUGACAUCCCGCGGAUGCGCCGGAGACGGCGCAGACCCUUCGGGGGCGCGGAGACAGGUGGUGCAUGGUUGUCGUCAGCUCGUGUCGUGAGAUGUUGGGUCAAGUCCCGCAACGAGCGCAACCCCUGUGCGCGGUUGCCAUCGGGUAAUGCCGGGCACUCCGCGCAGACCGCCCGCGAAAGCGGGAGGAAGGUGGGGACGACGUCAAAUCAUCAUGCCCCUCACGGCCUGGGCCACACACGUGCUACAAUGGCCUGUACAGAGGGAAGCCAAGCGGCGACGCGGAGCCAAUCCCAACAAAGCAGGCCCCAGUUCGGAUUGCAGGCUGCAACCCGCCUGCAUGAAGCCGGAGUUGCUAGUAAUCGCGGAUCAGCACGCCG